Molecule: transfer RNA, 57 nt
Filed under: Capra hircus (goat)
Lineage: Eukaryota; Metazoa; Chordata; Mammalia; Artiodactyla; Bovidae
Also listed under: 1 other name
Rfam family: tRNA
About the family: Transfer RNA (tRNA) molecules are approximately 80 nucleotides in length.
Source: Rfam by way of RNAcentral
UGGCUUAGACGGUAAAGCGUCUGCCUACAAUGCAGGAGACCCGGGUUCAAUCCCUGG